RNAcentral lists this ribosomal RNA (460 nucleotides) under uncultured bacterium. RNAcentral describes it as "partial 16S ribosomal RNA". It matches the Rfam family "Bacterial small subunit ribosomal RNA", at positions 338 to 795 of the family's 1533-position model. The record is from RNAcentral.
CCUACGGGAGUCAGCAGUGAGGAAUAUUGGUCAAUGGCCGGAAGGCUGAACCAGCCAUGCCGCGUGAAGGUCAGUGCCCUAUGGGCGUUACACUUCUUUUGUGCGGGAGCAAUAAUGGUCACGUGUGGCCAGACGAGAGUACCGUACGAAUAAGCAUCGGCUAACUCCGUGCCAGCAGCCGCGGUAAUACGGGGGGUGCAGUCGUAAUCCGGAUUAAUUGGGUUUAAAGGGUGCGUAGGUUGUGUGGUAAGUCAGCGUGAAAAUGCCCCCGCUCAACGGGGUGAAGUGCCAUUGAUACUGCCUUGCUGGAAUGCGGAUGCCGUGGGAGGAAUGUGUGGUGUAGCGGUGAAAUGCAUAGAUAUCACACAGAACACCGAUUGCGCAGGCAUCUCACGAAUCCGCGAUUGACGCUGAUGCACGAAAGCGUGGGUAUCAAACAGGAUUAGAUACCCUAGUAGUC